AUUGAACGCUGGCGGCAUGCUUUACACAUGCAAGUCGAACGGUAACAGGCCUUCGGGCGCUGACGAGUGGCGAACGGGUGAGUAAUGCAUCGGAACGUGCCCAGUCGUGGGGGAUAACUAUCCGAAAGGAUAGCUAAUACCGCAUACGAUCUGCGGAUGUAAGCGGGGGACCUUCGGGCCUCGCGCGAUUGGAGCGGCCGAUGUCAGAUUAGGUAGUUGGUGGGGUAAAGGCUCACCAAGCCAACGAUCUGUAGCUGGUCUGAGAGGACGACCAGCCACACUGGGACUGAGACACGGCCCAGACUCCUACGGGAGGCAGCAGUGGGGAAUUUUGGACAAUGGGCGCAAGCCUGAUCCAGCAAUGCCGCGUGCAGGAAGAAGGCCUUCGGGUUGUAAACUGCUUUUGUACGGAACGAAACGGCUCUGGUUAAUACCCGGGGCUAAUGACGGUACCGUAAGAAUAAGCACCGGCUAACUACGUGCCAGCCGCCGCGGUAA
RNAcentral lists this ribosomal RNA (498 nucleotides) under uncultured bacterium. Its description in RNAcentral is "partial 16S ribosomal RNA". It matches the Rfam family "Bacterial small subunit ribosomal RNA", at positions 30 to 523 of the family's 1533-position model. The record is from RNAcentral.